Molecule: ribosomal RNA, 497 nt
Filed under: uncultured bacterium
Lineage: Bacteria
Description: partial 16S ribosomal RNA
Rfam family: Bacterial small subunit ribosomal RNA
Source: RNAcentral
GAUGAACGCUGGCGGCGUGCCUAAUACAUGCAAGUCGAGCGAACGGACGAGAAGCUUGCUUCUCUGAUGUUAGCGGCGGACGGGUGAGCAACACGUGGAUAACCUACCUAUAAGACUGGGAUAACUUCGGGAAACCGGAGCUAAUACCGGAUAAUAUUUUGAACCGCAUGGUUCAAAAGUGAAAGACGGUCUUGCUGUCACUUAUAGAUGGAUCCGCGCUGCAUUAGCUAGUUGGUAAGGUAACGGCUUACCAGGGCAACGAUGCAUAGCCGACCUGAGAGGGUGAUCGGCCACACUGGAACUGAGACACGGUCCAGACUCCUACGGGAGGCAGCAGUAGGGAAUCUUCCGCAAUGGGCGAAAGCCUGACGGAGCAACGCCGCGUGAGUGAUGAAGGUCUUCGGAUCGUAAAACUCUGUUAUUAGGGAAGAACAUAUGUGUAAGUAACUGUGCACAUCUUGACGGUACCUAAUCAGAAAGCCACGGCUAACUACGUG